UACGUAGGGGGGCAAGCGUUGUCCGGAUUUAUUGGGCGUAAAGAGCGUGUAGGCGGUUCGGUAGGUCCGUUGUGAAAACUCGAGGCUCAACCUCGAGACGCCGAUGGAAACCAUCGAACUAGAGUCCGGAAGAGGAGAGUGGAAUUCCUGGUGUAGCGGUGAAAUGCGCAGAUAUCAAGAGGAACACCUGAGGUGAAGACGGGUUGCUGGGCCGACACUGACGCUGAUGCGCGAAAGCCAGGGGAGCAAACGGG
This 254-nucleotide ribosomal RNA is filed under the name uncultured bacterium. RNAcentral describes it as "partial 16S ribosomal RNA". It matches the Rfam family "Bacterial small subunit ribosomal RNA", at positions 524 to 776 of the family's 1533-position model. The record is from RNAcentral.